RNAcentral lists this ribosomal RNA (253 nucleotides) under uncultured bacterium. Its description in RNAcentral is "partial 16S ribosomal RNA". It matches the Rfam family "Bacterial small subunit ribosomal RNA", at positions 524 to 776 of the family's 1533-position model. The record is from RNAcentral.
UACGAAGGGUGCAAACGUUGCUCGGAAUCAUUGGGCGUAAAGCGCACGUAGGCGGCUUGCCAAGUCGGACGUGAAAUCCCUCAGCUCAACUGAGGACGUGCAUCCGAAACUGGCGAGCUUGAGUACUGAAGAGGAUCGCGGAAUUCCCGGUGUAGAGGUGAAAUUCGUAGAUAUCGGGAGGAACACCAGUGGCGAAGGCGACUUACUGGACGAUUGUUGACGCUGAGGUGCGAAAGCGUGGGGAGCAAACAGG